Zea mays is the source of this 1903-nucleotide RNA transcript. It is a transcript of the gene named Putative CBL-interacting protein kinase family protein, with no coding region annotated. Lineage: Eukaryota; Viridiplantae; Streptophyta; Magnoliopsida; Poales; Poaceae. The transcript is spliced from 10 exons. The record is from RefSeq and is marked validated.
AAAAGCGGAUAAAGGAGAGGAGCGGGCACGACGGCUGCAGGAGACCCGUAUAAAUACGAUCUGGUUUCCGUUCCCAAUCCCCUUCUUCCCCGACUCGCCCGGCGCUGAAUAAGAUUCCCCUGUAUUCUGUUCCAGAGAUGAGCUGAUCGAGCAGCCCGUCGCCAAGCCAACCGGACAUGGUGAGCGACGGCGCGCGCGGGCUGCUGGGCGCGUACGAGCUCGGGCGGACGCUCGGGGAGGGCAACUUCGGGAAGGUGAAGCAGGCGCGGCACCGCGGCAGCGGCGGGCAGUUUGCCGUGAAGAUCAUGGAGCGCGCCAGGGUGCUGUCGCAGCGCGCGGACGAGCAGAUAUGCCGCGAGAUCGCCACGCUCAAGCUGCUCGCGCACCCCAACGUCGUCCGCCUCCACGAGGUGGCUGCCAGCAAGACGAAGAUCUACAUGGUGCUUGAGCUCGUCAACGGCGGCGAGCUGCUGGACAGGAUUCAGGCGGCCAGUGAGGGAAAGCUCCCGGAGCAGGAGGCAAGGAGGCUCUUCCAGCAGCUGGUUGAUGGUGUAAGCUACUGCCAUGAAAAGGGCGUCUGUCACAGAGACCUCAAGCUGGAGAACGUUCUUGUCGACCGGAAGGGAAACAUCAAGAUCUCUGAUUUCGGGCUCAGCGCUUUACCGCAACAUCUCGGGAACGAUGGGUUGCUGCACACGACCUGCGGUAGCCCCAACUACAUUGCCCCUGAGGUUCUGCAGAACAGAGGGUACGACGGGUCGCUAUCGGACAUCUGGUCAUGCGGGGUGAUUCUCUACGUGAUGCUCGUAGGGCACCUCCCGUUCGACGACCGGAACAUCGUCGUUCUCUACCAGAAGAUUUUCAAGGGCGAUGCUCAGAUCCCGGAGUGGCUCUCUCCCGGCGCACGGAACCUUCUCCGGAGGAUCCUUGAGCCCGACCCGGCGGAGCGGAUCGCCAUGGCAGAGAUCAAGGCGCACCCAUGGUUCCAGGAGCACUACGUCCCUGUCCUUCCUCCGUACGACGACGACGACGACCACGAUUCAGUGAAGCAAAUCGGUGCGGGUAGUAAAACCACUCAUCACAUCAACGCGUUUCAGUUGAUCGGAAUGGCGUCGUCCCUAGACCUCUCAGGGUUUUUUGAGGAAGAGGACGUGUCCCAAAGGAAGAUCAGGUUCACGUCCGCACAACCGCCUGAGGAUUUGUUCGCCGAGAUCGAACGCUCUGCGACUGACAUGGGCUUCCAUGUUCACAGAGGGCAUAGUAAGCUUAGGCUGACGCGAAACUGCGACCGGUCGAAGAAUCAGAAGAACCCUAUGUCGUCGUCGUCGUCGUCGUUUCUAGUCUGCACCGAGGUAAAACGCAGCAAUUAAACUGCAUGCACCCCCAGGUUUUUGAGCUAACGAUGGAGUGCUGUGCCAUCUGUGAUCCCAGGUUUUUGAGCUUAGCCCCUCUUUGUAUGUCGUGGAGCUCAACAAGUCCCAUGGCGACCCUGCACUGUACAGGCAGCUCUGUCAGAGGAUCUGCGGUGACCUAGGUGUGCUCGAGAUGGACCAGAUCUUUGGGACGAGGCCGCCGGUCGCCGACGAUCUCGCGGGCUUGGCCUUGGCGUUGGAGAGACGAUCUGCGACGCCUUUGGUUGCGUUGUGACGAAAGGCUGCCCCCGCCGGCCCCCCUGACCGUGAUGUUUGUAGCGUCAGAUUAUUUAGUGACGACGAAGCAGUUCAGCUGCAACGCAGCUCGGAACGGUUGUGUGAUCCCUCCCAGAAAUAGAGGACAAGGUAAAAGAGUGUAGCCGUACACGUGUAGGAUCAUGCUCCAAUGUAAAUAAAGUGGUAGUAGCCACCGAUGUAAAACUGAAUGUAAAAUCUAAGAAAUAAAUCGUUUAUCCAGUACACAGAAGCUC